UGAUGUCCGAAAAAAAAUCUGAACCGAAACGCGAAGGGACAAUGCAGGCCACUGUAAAGGUAGGUACCGUUUAUCUUACCACUCGUGUCCGUUACGGUUAAUGGCCAUAUCGUCCGUUAAUCUAGUCUUAGUAGGGCCAUUACCCCCAUCUACCUUCGCGCUUCUGCGCACCUUCUUUACCCACAAAGGUUUCCAUGUUUUUAACUCCGUUUAAUCUUUCCUAUAAUGUCGCCUCGGACUUCCGUCCUCUUUUUAAUCUCGCUGGACAGAUUUUUUAGCCCUUUUUCGCCUUCCGCUCUCGGUCUUCCUCCGACCGUUACCAUUAGCUUCCACUCCAAUUUUCCAUUGGAGAUGACAUUAUGGCGGGUGGCGAGAGCGCCAACUUCACAAUUCAAAAUGGUGGCUCCGCCUGGCGGAGUCAAAACUCGUUAUAUCCAUUGAUUUUCCAAAUUUUCGUCACCACCCCCGUCUCGACCGGAACGGUCCCGCUGACGUUUAUUGUUUGCAAAUUGACCAUUCUGCGCCUUAUAAACUGUAGAUCCCCUUACUGGUUUACCGCCAUACCGUUUACUCCUAACUACCCGCGCUUAUCUUACUGACAGUAACUCGUUGAGUAGCCUUGGCUACUGCGGCUGCUUUUUGAAUUAUCGAUAACUUCUUCGUAGUUGCCACCUUAUACGCCGUUUCCGUCUUUCAUUUCGUGCACUAUUAUCUCCGUCGGGAAUUUGGCCACGUGUAGUUGUUGAUUUGGUGGAUGGGAUGUCUGCUGUAACGGACUCUUGAUAAAUACUGUAUCCAGCAUCUUGUGUAUUUUAAGUUGUACCACUGUUUUAUGUAAUAAAUAAAAGUACCGUACAACUUUAUUUAAAGAAGAAAAACUGUCGAUGAUUAAUAAUAAUAAUAAUAAUAAUACCAUCUUACCGUUCUUUACUGUAAAUUGCUAAAAUAUCUUUUGCUUUUAGUUAAUCUUUGGCUCUGUGUCGUAAUAACGAUUACCAAAUAUCGCGGUCGCUACAGGACAACAUUUUUGCAGAAAUUGUUAACAAAGAACAUAAACAAAAAUGAUUAAAAUUUUUUAAACAAAUUUUAAUCGUUAUGAUUUAUUGCAACAUAUAUAUAUAUAAUGAAAGAAAUAUGCCUAAUUAUUUAAUUCUUACACUAAUUACAUAACAAACUGAAUUGUUAGCAUAUUAAAGAUAGUAGUUGUUUAAAUUUUUCUUUUUGUAGAAAACACAUUUUCGUGAUGUACCAUACACUCUUAAAAAUUAAAUUAAGCAAUUGCUUAUUAUUUAAGAUUUAUUCAUAAAAUUGCAAAUGAUUUCUGUUACGAAAGUCUAAUUUUAUUGUUAGUAAAUUUUUUGCCAUUUCGGAUGACGUUCUGUUUUGUUUGUCCAAAUGUUGCCGUCUCGUUAAACUAGAUACUCUCUCGAAUGGGAUGCUGUGAAUGUGGACUGUCCCAGACUUAGUAGGUGGACGGUUCUCCGAAACUACCGGAGUUGAAAAGCAUGUAUGUCGGACAUAAGUUAUAUGGUGCUAGUUUGUUGCAAUGGUGUAAUGCUAAAAAUAUAAUGUUGAGGUAUAAGCACAUAAAUUGUGUGAUAAAGCAAUCUCUCUUACCUUCUUGGAUGAUCCCAAUU
Molecule: long non-coding RNA, 1637 nt
Filed under: Androctonus crassicauda
Lineage: Eukaryota; Metazoa; Arthropoda; Arachnida; Scorpiones; Buthidae
Source: RNAcentral